AUCCAGAUGGCGCAGUAUCCUAGUCAGAGAGACCGGCUACCAAAACGGGCCUAAAAAUCCGUGAAAGGGCACAUCGAUGAAGUCCCUGGUGCUUGCUUUAUACGCCCAGUGUAGGGUGGGUGCUGGGGGUUAAGGUUUCAGGGCGCCCCGCAAUGGCAUGCGGAUGCCGCCCCUGUUACCGUGGAGACCUGUACCUGUGGGGAAAGAUGCGCGGCUUUGGCUGCCUCUGACCCACGGAUCAGGGUGAACCUGCAAUGCGGUGGCUGUAAAACGCACGCUGUGUGCAGAGUAGCCUGCCUUGCGUGGGUAUGGCGGAUCAAGGGUUCAGAGGCAGGAGCCGUGGCCACGGCCCGCUGCCUCCUUGCCUUGUGAAACCAUGGCUGCAAAAGAGGCUAAGAGCCGGUUUUCCUGUCGCGGAAAACGCCUAGGCUGUUGGCGAGAGCCAGGCAGACGUUGGAUUGCAGUGCGGACUCAGUGGCAAUCGGGUAUCGGGUACCGGCAACGGCCCGGCGCAUGCUUUAAAGGGAAACCGCCAGAUCGGCGACGAAUGGCAGCGUGUGGGGAAAUCCAACCAGACCUCAAGCCGUAAGAUUUACUGCGUCUGCCGCCAUCUUAUCUAC
Molecule: small RNA, 620 nt
Filed under: Candidatus Pseudobutyricicoccus lothianensis
Lineage: Bacteria; Bacillati; Bacillota; Clostridia
Source: RNAcentral